CUUAAAUUUUGAUAUACGCCCUGUGCAAUUUCGUACAAUAUUGACCGAGAGAGUUGCGUUUAAAGUUGAAUAAACAUUUUGGGAAGUGUCGAGAAUUAGCUAAAAACGGCCUGUUAAACUAAUUUGACAACCGUCAACAUUGUAUCGUAAAUAUUCGUUUCAAUGAAGUUAAGUUUAAAUUUAAAAUGUUUAUUGGAUGGAUGUGCUCUUUUAUUUUCGUUUAAGGUCUUUGGGAAUGCAUGAAAAUUAAAUUAUGAAGCGAUUUUGAUUAAGAGAUUUAUUCUAAAUAUUCAAUGACCCUGGGGAAUCAAAUUCUAAUGUUCCAAGAAAGAAACUUCAAGUGUUUUUUUAUAAACACGCCUCGUUUAACGAAGGACCAAAGAGUUUCGAUAUGUUUAGAAGAUGCAAGGGUAAAUAAUGCUCGUGAGGUUAUACCGGCAGCAUUGGGCAGGUCUCUGACAACGAACGUGUACUUUCUGACUAUAGUGCGUCUAGGUUAUUGCUGUAUUAAAUAUUUGAUAGGUCGUUUUUGGCUAAUUCUCGACACUUUC
Non-coding RNA from Paramuricea clavata, 551 nucleotides. The record is from the annotation of a GenBank genome assembly. NCBI's taxonomy places the organism in Eukaryota, Metazoa, Cnidaria, Anthozoa, Malacalcyonacea, Plexauridae.